CCCUUAGAUGUCCUGGGCCGCACGCGCGCUACACUGAGUGUCUGAGAUACAAGUCUGCCUGGUCCGGCAAGGUCUAGGUAAUCGCUAAAAGACACAUCAUGCUUGGGAUAGAUUAUUGCAAAUAUUAAUCUUGAACGAGGAAUUCCUAGUAAGCGCAAGUCAACAGCUUGCGUUGAUUACGUCCCUGCCCUUUGUACACACCGCCCGUCGCUACUACUGAUUGGAUGUUUAAGCGAGGUUCUCGAACUGCUAGCGACUUAGCUUCGGUGAGGUCGCAGUGUGGGAAGUGAACCGAGCUUUGGUGUCUAGAGGAAGUAAAAGUCGUAACA
Molecule: ribosomal RNA, 329 nt
Filed under: uncultured eukaryote
Lineage: Eukaryota
Description: partial 18S ribosomal RNA
Rfam family: Eukaryotic small subunit ribosomal RNA
Source: RNAcentral